Molecule: ribosomal RNA, 466 nt
Filed under: uncultured bacterium
Lineage: Bacteria
Description: partial 16S ribosomal RNA
Rfam family: Bacterial small subunit ribosomal RNA
Source: RNAcentral
GACGAACGCUGGCGGCGUGCUUAACACAUGCAAGUCGAACGGAAAGGCCCUGCUUUUGUGGGGUGCUCGAGUGGCGAACGGGUGAGUAACACGUGAGUAACCUGCCCUUGACUUUGGGAUAACUUCAGGAAACUGGGGCUAAUACCGGAUAGGAGCUCCUGCUGCAUGGUGGGGGUUGGAAAGUUUCGGCGGUUGGGGAUGGACUCGCGGCUUAUCAGCUUGUUGGUGGGGUAGUGGCUUACCAAGGCUUUGACGGGUAGCCGGCCUGAGAGGGUGACCGGCCACAUUGGGACUGAGAUGCGGCCGAGACUCCUACGGGAGGCAGGAGUGGGGAAUAUUGCACAAUGGGCGGAAGCCUGAUGCAGCAACGCCGCGUGCGGGAUGACGGCUUUCGGGGUGUAAACCGCUUUCGCCUGAGACGAAGCGUGAGUGACGGUAAUGGGUAAAGAAGCACCGGCUAACUACG